CCCACUGGUUUCUACUACCAUAUCUCGUACCACCAACAUAUGCCACACCAUUAUUCCAAGCAACAAACAAACAAACAAACAAAUGAACAAAUAUUUGCCACAAAGAGCGAGGAAGACAAACCCACAAGGAAGACGACUGGGAGCCUGAAGAACGAUAAAAUGGCAUUUAUGAUAAAUACAUAAUACUCGAUGUUUACACACUCAUUCAGUAACGCAUAUAGAACACUGGGAAAAAAGUAUUUCAUUUUAACCUGGAUUCAAAAUAUUACGUUAUUUAAGCAGUCGGUUUAAUAGUACAAGUAAUCAAAAUUGGUCAUUUGUUUGGCUACCAACUAAAGGUGAACUAAAUUGGAUUUUAGGACCCCUGUUUUAUUUUUUCAGUGUACGAUAUAUAGGCAAUAGACGUGUUGUCUACGGCAUUUGGCACAGCGAUGAGGAAUGGAGGCGACCGGAAUGGGAAUAGGAGUUGGGGAGCCAGAAAAACAGAACAGAAUUCAAGUGUCAAAGUGACAGUUUUGAAAUUGAUUGCAGCAGCAGCGACAAUUGUGUGUGCGUUGCGGCUGAUAAAUAAGGCAGCUUUAAACCGACUUAACCGAGAGCCAUUGGGGUUAUCUAAUGGAGCCAGAGAUAGACAACCCAGAUAGAAUACCCCAGCUCCAUAUCAAUAUCAACUUGUUCAUAUGAUUGACAGGCGACACGUGGUCAGCUCCCUGGAGUUCAUGCGCAUUCGAUUAUCGCGAUCACGUCGCAACUGUGGCAUAAACGAUAUUUGCCCCAUACACUCUACCUAGCCCAUUUUCCGUUCUGCCGAUGACAACGGAAUAUAAAUUAGAGGUGGAAAAUGGCAUAAAUUCUUGGCAUGCCUACGCGUAUGAGAAAUGAAUCGAUACGAAUCAACCAGACCCAUAAGCAAAAUCCAAGCAAAGAUCAAGCAAAACUCGAAAAUUAUUAGAAGUACGGGACGCCGUCUGUCAAAUAUCGCCAAACAAAUUGACAACGAGGGGAGUGCGAAACUAACGAACGUUACGAAUCCAACAGAACAGGAAAAUAAAGCAAAUUUAUGGUCGAGUUCCCCAACGAGAGCAAAAGGUGACCAGCAUG
This is a non-coding RNA of Drosophila melanogaster (fruit fly), 1101 nucleotides long. NCBI's taxonomy places the organism in Eukaryota, Metazoa, Arthropoda, Insecta, Diptera, Drosophilidae. The record is from Ensembl.